RNAcentral lists this transfer RNA (70 nucleotides) under Bos taurus (domestic cattle). It matches the Rfam family "tRNA". From Rfam's summary of the family: Transfer RNA (tRNA) molecules are approximately 80 nucleotides in length. Their secondary structure includes four short double-helical elements and three loops (D, anti-codon, and T loops). The record is from Rfam by way of RNAcentral. Lineage: Eukaryota; Metazoa; Chordata; Mammalia; Artiodactyla; Bovidae. RNAcentral also lists the same sequence under 1 other name.
UCUGUGGUGUCUGAUAGUAAAGAAUCUGCCUGCAAUGCAGAAGACCCGGGUUCAAUCCCUGGCUCGGGAA